AGCGAACGCUGGCGGCAGGCUUAACACAUGCAAGUCGAGCGGGCCUUUCGGGGUCAGCGGCGGACGGGUGAGUAACGCGUGGGAACGUGCCUUCUGGUUCGGAAUAACUCAGGGAAACUUGAGCUAAUACCGGAUACGCCCUUUUUGGGGAAAGGUUUACUGCCGGAAGAUCGGCCCGCGUCUGAUUAGCUAGUUGGUGGGGUAACGGCCUACCAAGGCGACGAUCAGUAGCUGGUCUGAGAGGAUGAUCAGCCACACUGGGACUGAGACACGGCCCAGACUCCUACGGGAGGCAGCAGUGGGGAAUAUUGGACAAUGGGCGCAAGCCUGAUCCAGCCAUGCCGCGUGAGUGAUGAAGGCCUUAGGGUUGUAAAGCUCUUUUAUCCGGGACGAUAAUGACGGUACCGGAGGAAUAAGCCCCGGCUAACUUCGUGCCAGCCGCCGCGGUAA
Molecule: ribosomal RNA, 450 nt
Filed under: uncultured bacterium
Lineage: Bacteria
Description: partial 16S ribosomal RNA
Rfam family: Bacterial small subunit ribosomal RNA
Source: RNAcentral